UCCCUGAGAUUAGCGGCGGACGGGUGAGUAACACGUGGGUAACCUGCCUGUAAGACUGGGAUAACUUCGGGAAACCGGAGCUAAUACCGGAUAGUUUCUUUUCUCGCAUGAGAGAAGAUGGAAAGAUGGUUCUGCUAUCACUUACAGAUGGACCCGCGGCGCAUUAGCUAGUUGGUGAGGUAACGGCUCACCAAGGCGACGAUGCGUAGCCGACCUGAGAGGGUGAUCGGCCACACUGGGACUGAGACACGGCCCAGACUCCUACGGGAGGCAGCAGUAGGGAAUCUUCCGCAAUGGACGAAAGUCUGACGGAGCAACGCCGCGUGAGCGAAGAAGGCCUUCGGGUCGUAAAGCUCUGUUGUUAGGGAAGAACAAGUACGAGAGUAACUGCUCGUACCUUGACGGUACCUAACCAGAAAGCCACGGCUAACUACGUGCCAGCAGCCGCGGUAAUACGUAGGUGGCAAGCGUUGUCCGGAAUUAUUGGGCGUAAAGCGCGCGCAGGCGGUCCUUUAAGUCUGAUGUGAAAGCCCACGGCUCAACCGUGGAGGGUCAUUGGAAACUGGGGGACUUGAGUGCAGAAGAGGAGAGUGGAAUUCCACGUGUAGCGGUGAAAUGCGUAGAGAUGUGGAGGAACACCAGUGGCGAAGGCG
Molecule: ribosomal RNA, 653 nt
Filed under: uncultured bacterium
Lineage: Bacteria
Description: bacterial SSU rRNA
Rfam family: Bacterial small subunit ribosomal RNA
Source: RNAcentral